AAAAAAAAACACUUCAGUGCAUAGUCAGAAACAAAGGAAAGUAGGUUCUUGAACCUCCUGUGUCCAGAUGCCGUCAUCUGAAGUGUCCAAGAAUCUUCAAGAAAAAUUUUUCUUUUUUUCUUCGGAAAUGGAAAUCUUUUUCUGAAGGAUUGUAUGGACAAGAAGUGAGGAUCCAAAGAGGUGACUGCAUAGUAAAAUAAAAACUUCAGUGCAUAGUCAGAAACAAAGAUUGAAACAAGAGUAACAAGACUGGCGAGCUGCAGUCAGUAGCUCCAGGAACGUCAAGGUGGGAGGACGUGUCUCUACACCUCUGUGUUACUGACGUCGGUAAGGUCGAAACUCCUAUAGAAACGCCACGACAACUACCACCUUAGAGUUGAGGUAAGUAAGUUUAUUCUGC
Non-coding RNA from Cherax quadricarinatus, 400 nucleotides. The record is from RefSeq and is a predicted model, not a curated record. Lineage: Eukaryota; Metazoa; Arthropoda; Malacostraca; Decapoda; Parastacidae.